Long non-coding RNA from Myotis myotis, 415 nucleotides. RefSeq lists it as uncharacterized. Lineage: Eukaryota; Metazoa; Chordata; Mammalia; Chiroptera; Vespertilionidae. The transcript has 2 exons. The record is from RefSeq and is a predicted model, not a curated record.
AGAUGACCGACCUCUUAAGAAGUGUUGUCACCGUCAUUGAUAUUUUCUACAAAUACACCAACAAAGAUGGGGAAUGUGGCACACUGAGCAAGGAUGAGCUAAAGGAACUUCUAGAAAAAGAGUUUCGGCCAAUUCUGAAGAUUUUCCAGUUUUAUUUCAAGUAUUCAUUGACAAACCUAUGCAGAAAGCUAAGAGACAUGGUUCAGGAGCCAAAUUUUCUCUAAUAGCAUUGUAACAUAUUCCAUGUACUAAGCAAAGAAUUUUGUGGUAUUGAAGAUUCAGAAGAAUUGCUUCUUUUGUGCCACCUCUGGAACUCUGUACUACUACUUUUGAAUUUAUUCUCAUGACCUCCUGGAUAUAGGAUCCAGAAAAUUGUACUGCAAAUAAUUGACAAUAAACUUUUCAUCAAGUUACA